RNAcentral lists this ribosomal RNA (304 nucleotides) under Metorchis bilis. RNAcentral describes it as "partial large subunit ribosomal RNA". It matches the Rfam family "Bacterial large subunit ribosomal RNA", at positions 2013 to 2607 of the family's 2925-position model. Lineage: Eukaryota; Metazoa; Platyhelminthes; Trematoda; Opisthorchiida; Opisthorchiidae. The record is from RNAcentral.
UUAUUAUCUAGAUGAGAAUUUUCUUUGAAUUUGGUUUUUUGGUGCAGAACCCAAAAAUGAUGAGCAAGACGGAAAGACCCCGAGAGCUUGAAUUUAUUUUUUACCUGGGGAGGGGGUAUAUGUUUCAUGUAUUUUUUGAUCCUCUGCGGAUUGUAGGGAUAAGUUACCUCGGGGAUAACUAGGUAAGAAGCAAGGAGAGGUCAUAUUGAUUUGCUUGGUUGCCAUCUCGAUGUUGGCUUGGGGAAGCAGGGAGGCGCAGCAGCUUCUUUGUGGGGUCUGUUCGACCAUAGUUCCUCAUGAGCUG